GAGCAAGGUCAUCAAAUUAAAAUGAUGUUACCUUGCAUUGAAGGUUGGCUACAAGGAAUACUGGCAGUUCUCCGUGCCUUUCGAACUACGUUUGUAUUGUUUGUGGCCUCGAACAAAUUGCUACAUG
Amaranthus tricolor (Joseph's coat) is the source of this 127-nucleotide small nucleolar RNA. Lineage: Eukaryota; Viridiplantae; Streptophyta; Magnoliopsida; Caryophyllales; Amaranthaceae. The record is from RefSeq and is a predicted model, not a curated record.